Molecule: ribosomal RNA, 520 nt
Filed under: uncultured bacterium
Lineage: Bacteria
Description: bacterial SSU rRNA
Rfam family: Bacterial small subunit ribosomal RNA
Source: RNAcentral
AGAGUUGAUCCUGGCUCAGAACGAACGCUGGCGGCGCGCUUAAGCAUGCAAGUCGAACGGCAAGAGGUAGCAAUACCUCCUAGAGUGGCGGACUGGUGAGUAACACGUGGGUGACAUACCCUUCAGAUGGGGAUAGCUAUUAGAAAUAGUAGAUAAUACCGAAUACGAGCACAGGGGUUAGAGAUCUGUGAGGAAAGGAGCUAAGGCUCCGCUGAAGGAAUGGCCUGCGGCCCAUUAGCUAGUUGGUGAGGUAAGAGCCCACCAAGGCGAUGAUGGGUAUCCGGCCUUAGAGGGUGAACGGACACAUUGGGACUGAGAUACGGCCCAGACUCCUACGGGAGGCAGCAGCUAAGAAUAUUCCGCAAUGGACGAAAGUCUGACGGAGCGACGCCGCCGUGGAUGAAGAAGGCCGGAAGGUUGUAAAAUCCUUUUGAAACUGAAGAAUAAGCGUUGUAGGGAAUGACAGCGUGGUGACAGUAGGUUUUGAAUAAGCAACGGCUAAUUACGUGCCAGCCGCGGC